GUGCCAGCAGCUGCGGUAAUACGGAGGGUGCAAGCGUUAAUCGGAAUUACUGGGCGUAAAGCGCACGCAGGCGGUCUGACAAGUCGGAUGUGAAAUCCCCGGGCUCAACCCGGGAACUGCAUUCGAAACUGUCAGGCUGGAGUCUUGUAGAGGGGGUAGAAUUCCAGGUGUAGCGGUGAAAUGCGUAGAGAUCUGGAGGAAUACCGGUGGCGAAGGCGGCCCCCUGGACAAAGACUGACGCUCAGGUGCGAAAGCGUGGGAGCAAACAGGAUUAGAUACCCUGGUAGUCCACGCCGUAAACGAUGUCUAUUUGGAGGUUGUGCCCUUGAGCGUGGCUUCCGGAGCUAACGCGUUAAAUACGACCGCC
RNAcentral lists this ribosomal RNA (367 nucleotides) under uncultured bacterium. Its description in RNAcentral is "bacterial SSU rRNA". It matches the Rfam family "Bacterial small subunit ribosomal RNA", at positions 505 to 873 of the family's 1533-position model. The record is from RNAcentral.